AUGAACUUACUGAGUGGGCCCAUUAAAAGAUGCCCCCCCCCCCGGUGUAGUCAUGCUCUAGGCUUGUUGCAAUUCGCCUGUUAAGCCCCUCAUUCUGCAGGCUUUGCACGCCUGGAGGCAAAAUCUAAACUGUUAGGAAAGGUGAAAGCCACCCCAGUGCCCCUGUCCCAAGCAGGGCAGCGAGCAUGUAGGGGCAGGACCGCCGUAAACGGUGGGAAGGGGAGAGGCCGGAAUGUCGACCAGAUCAUGGAGUUUGUGUGCGGCCUUUCGCCGAACGCGCACACGUGGAGUUCGGUGCAUUGUCACAAAAAUGGCUGUUCAUGGAAAAGCGCGGAGGAACUCCGUCAGAAACUGACAUGUGACGACAGACACCCGCAUGCCCACGUACACCCUGAACACCCUGAACACCCUGAACAAGCAAACAGGAGACCGCCUGUAUUAAAAAAAAAUAAGACUGACAAAAAAAAAAAAAAAAACGAUGAAAUUCAUUUUUCAAGAUGUCAACAUGAAUUGUUCAACAUAAAUGGACGACAUCAGCACAACGUGUGCGAGCACAAAGACUCCAGGUGAGAAACGGGACCAACGGGUCUGACCGUGUCAGUGGGGCGUCGCUGCAGGUGAAUUUACGCUGUCUGCACUGCAGAGACUUUAACGUCAGGCCUCCCUGUUAAUUAGAACAGGAGACCAAGCGACAGAGGGUUGGGAUGGUAGUGAGAAGGGCAGCUCGCUCACCUCCCAGGAAGGGAGUCGCUGCACCCCCGGGAAGCUUCGACAUGCCCAGUCUGGCACCAGGAAAAACGGCGGCAUCAAAAUACGGAAGGAACCUUUUCACUCUUUAAUGUGCAAAUCCAACUGAACUGUCGACUGCAUGAAAUCAGUAUAUUCUUUACGUCUGACAAGAGUAAUGUGGGUCCAAAUCAACCCUCCUUUUCCAAAGUGAUUCUUCCGUCCCUUGAAGCCCAGGACAACAGCUGGGCCCUGUAACCUUCCCAAUAGGUUCCCAACCAUCAGUACUUUGCUCUGAAAUCCAUCGGUUUUGCAUUUUCCUCCAGCAGAAGUGAGCAGCCUUUUUUCAACAACGUUUGUUCAGGACAAGAACCGGUGGGGAAGUUCUAUCCAGCAGUAAAGCUGGACCUCAGCUGGACAUUAACUGCUUUUAUCUGGUGGACUUAGUCUUGAACAAAUAAAAUAAAAUCUGUCUACAU
This is a long non-coding RNA of Brienomyrus brachyistius, 1205 nucleotides long. RefSeq lists it as uncharacterized. The record is from RefSeq and is a predicted model, not a curated record. The transcript has 2 exons. Lineage: Eukaryota; Metazoa; Chordata; Actinopteri; Osteoglossiformes; Mormyridae.